This 309-nucleotide ribosomal RNA is filed under the name uncultured bacterium. Its description in RNAcentral is "partial 16S ribosomal RNA". It matches the Rfam family "Bacterial small subunit ribosomal RNA", at positions 504 to 809 of the family's 1533-position model. The record is from RNAcentral.
AGAGACAGCAGUAGCCGCGGUAAUACGUAGGUCCCGAGCGUUGUCCGGAUUUAUUGGGCGUAAAGCGCGCGCAGGCGGCUUCCCAAGUCCCUCUUAAAAGUGCGGGGCUUAACCCCGUGAUGGGAAGGAAACUGGGAAGCUGGAGUAUCGGAGAGGAAAGUGGAAUUCCUAGUGUAGCGGUGAAAUGCGUAGAUAUUAGGAAGAACACCAGUGGCGAAGGCGACUUUCUGGACGAAAACUGACGCUGAGGCGCGAAAGCCAGGGGAGCGAACGGGAUUAGAUACCCGAGUAGUCCCUGUCUCUUAUACA